UUGCCAAACAUAUUAACCAUGUCGUCACCAAGCUAACGCUUAUUUUAAGCUUUGCAGAUAAAGUUAUGGUUUGUUAAGCUUUUAUUUGUUGAGAUUUUUUUAGAAAAUGUAAUGUUUUUGAAGUGUAAAAACGACCCCUGCCUUCUAAACUGCACGUCAAUUUGAUUCUAAUCGCCCCCAGUUUUAGGCCCUGUCUGACAUCUUCCGGCCGGUGGAAUUGAACUCCCACUACGUAGACAUGAGCGGAGCUUGCUGCGUCCUGCUGCUGCGGACUCUCUUACCUCCUCCCACCGGAGACACUGGCGGUGGCCACACCCCUCCGACUUUCAGAUGCCACGUGGCCCUGCGAUGAGAUGGUGACUGAUGCCUACUCAGACUUCUUCUGUCCAGGUCCCUGCGGCGUUCCCAAGCCAGCCGGGAGAUAGUCUUCCCAAUGUGUCCUGGGUCUUCCCUAUGUGUCCUGGGUCUUCCUCGUGGCCUCCUACUGGUCGGAGGUGCCGUAACCACCGUAGGGAGGCGUUCGGGUGGCAUCCUGACCAGAGGCCCGAACCACCUCAUCUGGCUCCUCUCCAUGUGGAGGAGAAACGGCUUUACUUUGAGUUGACAGAGCUUCUCAUCCUAUCUCUAAGGGAGAGCCCCGCCAACGCCGGAGGAAACUCAUUUCGGUCGCCUGUACCCGUGAACUUGUCCUUUCGGUCAUAACCUAAAGCUCACGACCACAGAUCGAUACAGCGUCCGCCUUACUGAAGACGCCGCAACGAUCCUCCUGUCGAUAUCACGAGCCGCUCUUCCCUCACUCCUGAACUAGACUCUGAGGUACUUGAAGUCCUCUACAUAGGGCAAGAUCUACUACAAUUUAUUUUCUUGAUGUCUUUUAGUAUUUCUUACAGCCCAAAUGUGAUUAGUUUUGUGUCAUGUCUGUUAUAUAUAUAUAUUUUUUAAACAAUAUUGGACAAUUGAAUGAACAACCUGCAAGACUUAUUUGCCAAGCUUUGUAGGACUCGUUCAGGACUCUCCUUCAGAGCCAAUGAAAAAAAAACUAUAACCCAUCGAUUAGUUCAAGUGACAAAAACACUCAUCGUUCACUCGCAAGGAAAAAAGCUAACAAGUAGUGAAUUGAAUUUCAUAUAGCGCUUUUUCUCUAGU
Long non-coding RNA from Nerophis ophidion (straightnose pipefish), 1146 nucleotides. RefSeq lists it as uncharacterized. The record is from RefSeq and is a predicted model, not a curated record. Lineage: Eukaryota; Metazoa; Chordata; Actinopteri; Syngnathiformes; Syngnathidae. The transcript is spliced from 5 exons.